AGUGAACGCUGGCGGUAGGCCUAACACAUGCAAGUCGAACGGCAGCACAGUAAGAGCUUGCUCUUACGGGUGGCGAGUGGCGGACGGGUGAGGAAUACAUCGGAAUCUACUUUUUCGUGGGGGAUAACGUAGGGAAACUUACGCUAAUACCGCAUACGACCUACGGGUGAAAGCAGGGGAUCUUCGGACCUUGCGCGAUUGAAUGAGCCGAUGUCGGAUUAGCUAGUUGGCGGGGUAAAGGCCCACCAAGGCGACGAUCCGUAGCUGCUCUGAGAGGAUGACCAGCCACACUGGAACUGAGACACGGUCCAGAUUCCUACGGGAGGCAGCAGUGGGGAAUAUUGGACGAUGGGCGCAAACCUGAUCCAGCCAUACCGCGUGGGUGAAGAAGGCUUUCGGGUUGUAAAGCCCUUUUGUUGGGAAAGAAAAGCAGCAGGUUAAUACCCCGCUGUUCUGACGGUACCCAAAGAAUAAGCACCGGCUAACUUCGUG
RNAcentral lists this ribosomal RNA (492 nucleotides) under uncultured bacterium. RNAcentral's name for it is "partial 16S ribosomal RNA". It matches the Rfam family "Bacterial small subunit ribosomal RNA", at positions 29 to 507 of the family's 1533-position model. The record is from RNAcentral.